Long non-coding RNA from Oreochromis niloticus (Nile tilapia), 1204 nucleotides. RefSeq lists it as uncharacterized. The record is from RefSeq and is a predicted model, not a curated record. The transcript has 3 exons. Lineage: Eukaryota; Metazoa; Chordata; Actinopteri; Cichliformes; Cichlidae.
AGGGAUGCACCGAUACCGGUAUCUGGUAUCGGCCUCGAUACCACAUUUUCUAAAGUACUCGUACUCAUUAGAAGUCCCCCGAUACCGGGGACCGAUACCACGGUCUGAGACCUGUCUAUGUUUGAGCGGCAUGUAAGGGGUUAAUCACAUGCCCCAGCUGCAGCUCAGAGCGGGGAGAAGGCAAGGCGAGACAUGUCAGCCGUGUGGAACUAUUUCGAAGUGAACGAAGACGCGAAAACAAAGGCGGACUGCAAAUUGUGCUCAGGGAAAUUGUCCAGAUGAGGCUCAAAAGGUAGCGCAUUUAACACAAGUAAUUUAAUCAAGCACCUAAAAUCCCAACAAGACAACAAGUACAAAGAGUUUACCCACGCUUAUUUACCCAUGCUUAUUAGCACAGAGGAGCAUAGCUGAUGCUAUAGCAGUGGGACGGAAAAUAGUUGGGCAUUUUAAACAUUCCACCUUAGCCUACUCCCGCCUCAAGGACAUUCAGGGACAGCUCAACCAGCCAAUAAAGAGACUGCAGCAGGACGUACAGACACGCUGGAACAGCACGUAUUACAUGCUCCAGUCCCUCAUACAGCAAAAGCGAGUGCUGGGGGUGUAUGUGUCCGAGCAUGAACUCCCUGACUAUCUCACCGCUCACCAAUGGGCUCUUAUGGAGACGAGGACGAGGACCACGGCGCCAAGACAAUGAAAGCAACCUUACUGGCAGCUGUCAAGAAGCGCUUCAGUGACGUCGAGACCAACUCACUGUACUUCAUCUCCACCAUACCUGACCUAAGUAACUCUCCAGAUGCAAACCUUCCCCAGAAAAGCUUCAUUCGGAGGCAGGACUUCUAGACAGUUUUCUCAGCCGUGGCUUUGCUCGCCCUAUGUGCCUGCCUGCCUCCCUGGCUCAGCUUCUGGAGUUCUGGAUUCCUCCCCACUCACUCGGACAAUUCUCCCCUCCAUGCUACUCCUCCACCUGCAGCAAGGAAUCCCCUUGAACCAGCCAUCCAGUAUGUCUACAUCCUUUUUGGCCACAAAGUCAUAGAACUGUCAUUUUCACUGUCCAAGUUUCUCUGAUUGCUUUCAUAGCUCAGGUUGCAUAUGUACUUCACAGUUUUGCAUUAUUCAUAGUUUAUGUUCAUUCCCACAGUUCACAGUUUACUUGUCUUGUACAUUCACUUGUUUCUCUAAAUAAAUUUGGUUACUAAACGUUUAA